Molecule: long non-coding RNA, 249 nt
Filed under: Mytilus galloprovincialis (Mediterranean mussel)
Lineage: Eukaryota; Metazoa; Mollusca; Bivalvia; Mytilida; Mytilidae
Source: RNAcentral
CGGCUGUCUUUGUACAUGUUGUAAACUAUUUCAAACUAUCCCUUCUGAUUAAUGAAAUAAACCUUGUUAUCCUUUGCAUGCAUGAAACUGGUUUCUGUGUUGGAGCGAUCUGUCAUUUGUUUUAUCUUCUUGCAAGGUACUUUAUAUUUCCAGCAAACCCAAAUGAGAGAGACAAAUACUAGUAGUAUCAAAACUGUGCUGAUGCCUAUAAUCGAUGGUGUUGGUAUUUUACUGUCAUCGAUGCCUAUU